AUGUCUGCGUCUUCAUUUUCCCUCCCGAGGCAGAGGGAUUUCGUCAAGCACAAGGAUCGCUCUUGCCACCGCUGCCUGCUCAAGGGACACUGCAAGGCCAAUUGCCGGAACCCGUUCAUCUGUCUACGCUGUCGGCAGAUCGGGCACCGGGCUCGGGGCUGCACAAAUCCUCCAUCGCCAUCCUCGGUGCCUCGCUCUGCAUCUUCAUUAGAUGGCCAGACCUGUCCUCGCGUCAGACAGGAGCAGGCGCCGCGCCGUCGCAACAACAAUGUUCAACAUCGACGCGAUGAUGACCGUGACCAGGAGGGUCGGGUCAGGGAGGGCCGGCGCGGCCGUGAAGGUGACCGACGCUCCUCCUCUUCGAAGGACCGACUCAUCGGCAACCGUUCGUGCACUUCAGAGCAUCAUGCCAUCCAAGGGCACGAAGACGCUUGCGGACGAGGCAGCCGUGGUGGCGUGCCUGCUUCUCAUGAUGCGAGGAAGGUUGCUUCUGCUCAGGUUUAG
This 504-nucleotide ribosomal RNA is filed under the name Triticum aestivum (bread wheat). RNAcentral's name for it is "partial small subunit ribosomal RNA". The record is from RNAcentral. Lineage: Eukaryota; Viridiplantae; Streptophyta; Magnoliopsida; Poales; Poaceae.